Molecule: ribosomal RNA, 600 nt
Filed under: uncultured bacterium
Lineage: Bacteria
Description: bacterial SSU rRNA
Rfam family: Bacterial small subunit ribosomal RNA
Source: RNAcentral
AGACUGUAACUGACGCUAAAGCUCGAAAGUGCGGGUAUCGAACAGGAUUAGAUACCCUGGUAGUCCGCACGGUAAACGAUGGAUGCCCGCUGUUUGCGAUAUACAGUAAGCGGCCAAGCGAAAGCGUUAAGCAUCCCACCUGGGGAGUACGCCGGCAACGGUGAAACUCAAAGGAAUUGACGGGGGCCCGCACAAGCGGAGGAACAUGUGGUUUAAUUCGAUGAUACGCGAGGAACCUUACCCGGGCUUGAACUGCAGAGGAAGGAUCUAGAGAUAGUGACGCCCUUCGGGGCCUCUGUGGAGGUGCUGCAUGGUUGUCGUCAGCUCGUGCCGUGAGGUGUCGGCUUAAGUGCCAUAACGAGCGCAACCCCUGCCGUCAGUUGCCAUCAGGUUAUGCUGGGCACUCUGGCGGGACUGCCACCGUAAGGUGUGAGGAAGGUGGGGAUGACGUCAAAUCAGCACGGCCCUUACGUCCGGGGCUACACACGUGUUACAAUGGGUGAUACAGAGAGCAGGUGCAUGGCAAUGUGCAUCGAAUCAUGAAAGUCAUCCUCAGUUCGGAUUGGGGUCUGCAACCCGACCCCAUGAAGCUGGAUUCGC